AUAUUGAAGGAAUAUACGACACUUUGAAGGAGUGUGCUGUUAUUAGUAAAUCUGCUGGAGGAAUUGGAGUUUCUGUACACAACAUCGAUGCCACUAGUCUUAGCUUUGAAGGAUCUUUCUCUGGAUGGAACACUGGCUCCUGAAAUUUGUAAUCUUUUGUACACGAAGUUGAUAUAGUGUCACUGGGUAGGAGAAAGUUCAGCACAGAUUUUCAGACUGCUAAAGGCGUUGAUGUUCUUUGGAUUUAUAGUGACGGUUAGCAUCCUCUUUAUGUUUGUGAAUCUUAAAGUUGGUGACAUCUUUGCGAGCAAAGAGCACAACAGCUGAUCCAAAUGCAUUGAUUGAUGAAUGGAGAAUACACAAGAAGCAAGUUAUGGCUUCAUGACCUUGCUGGAAGUGAGAGAUUAGCCAAGCCAGACGUUUAAGGAGAUCCGCUGAAAGAAACUCAAAUUAUUAACAGAUCCUUAUCUGCA
Molecule: long non-coding RNA, 473 nt
Organism: Papaver somniferum (opium poppy)
Lineage: Eukaryota; Viridiplantae; Streptophyta; Magnoliopsida; Ranunculales; Papaveraceae
Exons: 4
Source: RefSeq, a predicted model, not a curated record